RNA transcript from Crotalus tigris (Tiger rattlesnake), 5503 nucleotides. It is a transcript of the gene named formin homology 2 domain containing 1, with no coding region annotated. The transcript has 24 exons. Lineage: Eukaryota; Metazoa; Chordata; Lepidosauria; Squamata; Viperidae. The record is from RefSeq and is a predicted model, not a curated record.
GUCGCGGGAAGACCCGCCCGGGGGCCGCGGCCGGAGGGGGCUCCGGCUCGCCAAUCCCAGGUUGGCGCAGCUGACCCGCCCGCCCUUCUCCCCUCCGGCGCAGCCCCGCCUGCCCGCCCGCCCGGGAAGGGCGCCACAGACCCGCCGCCGCCGCCGCCGCCGCCGUCGCACCAUGGCCGAGCCGGCCGCGCCGCCGGAGGCGCCGUGCGCCGUGCAGUGCCGCCUGCAGUACCUGGAGGACGCGGACCCCUUCUGCUGCGCCGCCUUCCCCGAGCCGCGUCGCCCGCCCGGCUUGCCCGUGGCCGAGGCGCUGCCGCUGGCCGCCCAGCUGCCCGCCUUCCUCCGCCUGCUAGGCGCGCCGCUGCGGCUGGAGGAUUGUGCCUUGCAAGUGCUGCCUUCUGGACACUACUUGGACCUGGAACUUUCACUGUUGGAGCAGAAGGACGAGCUGGAGGUCUUCUACGAAGACAUCAGCAAAGGGAGGCGGCCAAUCCUGCUUCUGCGCACGCAGCUCUCGGUCCGAGUGCACGCCAUCAUCGAGAAGCUGUACCGUUCCAAGGGUCCGGAGCUGAGGCGUUCCCUCUUCUCCCUCAAGCAGCUUUUCCAGGAUGACAAGGACCUGGUGCCCGAGUUUGUGAACUCCGAAGGACUGACGUGUCUCGUCUCAGUGGGAGCAGAAGCUGACCAGAACUACCAGAAUUACAUCCUGCGGGCUCUCAGCCAGAUCAUGCUCUUUGUGGAUGGAAUGAUGGGGGUGAUCCAGCACCCAGAGACCGUGAGGUGGCUCUACACCCUGACGGGCAGCCCGUACCGCCUUGUGGUGAAGACGGCCCUGAAGUUGCUCCUGGUCUUUGUGGAGUUCACAGAGUCCAAUGCCCACCUGCUGAUCCAGGCUGUGGUGACUGUGGAGCAGGGCAGAGGGGGGGUUCCGUGGUCUCGCCUUGUGGCCAUCCUGGAGCAGAAGAGCGGGGCUGAUACUGAGCUCCAGGUGUUUGCAAUGACACUCAUCAACAAGACGUUGGCUGCCCUCCCUGACCAGGACUCCUUCUACGACGUGACAGAUUGUCUGGAGCAGCAGGGCAUGGAGCAGCUCAUCCAGGCGCACCUGGCCAGCAAGGGCACGGACCCGGACCUGAGGCAGCAACUUGCCCUCUAUGAGAAUGCCCUGAAGGAGGAGGAUGAGCCGGAAGAGCCUCUGCCGGGCACCCGUGCCAAGGAGCGGCGGAGAGGGGACGAGGGCCGGCAGGGGGCCCGGCGCUCUUUCCUCGCUGCUGAAGCCCAGGAGGAGAACAAAGGUGUUCCUGCUGCUGCAGACACCUUUCCCAACCCUCAGGAGACUCUGGACCUGGAGGGAGGCAGCUGUGAGCAGCUGCCCAGCCCGAGCGCCUCCUGCAUACAGCUCUCUGUGCUGCUGGCCCCCGUGGAAGGACCACAGCUGGCUGGCCUGGGCGAGAGGAGCGUUUUCAAACUUCAUGAAACUGCCUCUGCUUGGCAAGAGGAAGCCCCCCCGGUAUGUGGGGACAAGCCCAUUCUGAGGCACUUUGAAGCCCGCUUUCUAGAAAACCUGGUUGCCUCCCAGAAAGAGAAGAUCAGCGCCAUCAGCCGUGGGCGAGCAGAAGUUCUUGGUGAAGCUGUUUCCAGCACUGAGCAAGCGGCCCCAGGGAGGUGGAGUGAAGGACAAGAUGGAAACACCAAAUGGAAAGAGCCCAGCUCAGAGCCUGGUUUGGAUCAUGAGGCAGGCAGGGAAAGCACCUCCUCCAAGGAUGCCUCUCCAAGCCACCCCUUCAACACUUCCUGUGUCGUGGGCCCAGAUCCAGAAUGUGCCCCCUGUGGCAUCAGUGGGGCUCUCAAGAGCAGAAAACUUAUGCUUGACAUACUGUUCACUAAUAAGAGCCCACCAGGCCUGGAGAGGACGUUGCUCUUUGCGAGAGAUCAAGGCACGGAAGAGAAGGGGAAGAUUCCGCACCAGGAAGAGGAGGGCCAGGAGAGGAUGGGGCAACAGAUUGACUCUCAGGCCCUCCCCUUGCAAAGCCAGUUCAGUGUGGAAGCUGAAACCAGCCUGAAGAGUCUGGAAAGGACCCAAGUGACGGGGGGUCCACCGGGGCCUCGUUCUCAACCUCUGAAGAUCCAGGAUCUUGACUUUUCAGACCUGUGUGAGGAAGAGGAUUUUGAUGUACAAGAAGCAAAGGUGGCCGAGACAGCCUUGCCCCACAUGGCUUUGGGAGCCGGUGAGGGCCUGGCUCCUCCCCUGAUUCCUGGUUGUGCUCCACCUCCUCCGGCUCCUCCUCCCCCAGCUGGCAUACCUGGUCCCCCUCCUCCCCCCCCAUUCAGCAGCCCCUUUCCUGGGGGAAAAGCCAGCUCCCCUGCCAAGAAAAAGAAGACCGUCAAGCUCUUCUGGAGCGAGCUGAAAGACAUAGAUGGCCCUGCCAGGGAAAGUUGGUUUGGGCAGGCUACUCUGUGGGCCUCCCUGGAGAAGGUCGAGGUUGACUCUGCCAAGUUGGAACAUCUCUUUGAGUCCCGGGCAAAGGAGAUUCCGAGUUCCAAGAAAGCUGUGGACGGAAGGAAGCUGGUCGUGGUCCUGGAUCCCAAGAGGAGCAAUGCCAUCAAUAUUGGCUUGACGGUGUUGCCUCCCAUCCAUGUCAUCAAGGCGGCCAUUCUCAGCUUCGAUGAGUUUGCAAUCAAUAAGGAAGGGAUUGAGAAAAUAUUGACCAUGGUUCCCACAGAGGAGGAGAAGCAGAAGAUCCAGGAGGCCCAACUGGCAAACCCGAAUCUCCCUCUGGGGUCAGCCGAGCAAUUCCUGCUCACGCUCUCCUCCAUUGCAGAGCUCCCAGCUCGCCUCCAGUUGUGGGCUUUCAAGCUGGACUACGAAGCCCUGGAGAAGGAAAUUGUAGAGCCCCUCUUCGAUCUGAAGCUGGGCAUGGAGCAGCUAACCAAAAACCAGACCUUCAGGCGUAUUCUGGCUACCCUUCUGGCCAUGGGCAACCUCCUGAAUGGCUCCCAGAGUCGAGGGUUUGAGCUCAGCUACCUGGCCAAAGUGUCAGAGGUAAAAGACACCGUCCACCGGCAAAGCCUCCUGUACCACCUGUGCCACUUUGUGGUAGUGGAGUUCCCAACCACCACAGACCUCUACUCAGAGAUUGCUGCCCUCACUCGGUGUGCCAAGGUGGAUUUUGAGGAGCUGGCAGAAAGUGUCCUGCAGCUGGAACGGCGAUGCAAAGCCUCUUGGGAGCACCUGAAGGCCAUUGCAAGACACGAUUGCAAGCCAGCACUCAAGAACAAGCUGCUGGAUUUUCUACAGGCCAGCACAGAGAAGAUUGGCCUCCUUAAGAUCAUCCACCGGCGGGUGUUGAACAGGUUCCACUCCUUUCUCCUGUUUCUGGGCUACGACGCACACUCAGCACAGAACAUGAGGGUUACCAGCUUCUGCCGGCUUUUGCGGGAGUUUGCUCUGGAGUACCAUACCUGCCGAGAGCGUGUCCUGCAGCAGCAGAAGAAGCGGGCAGCCUGUCGGGAGAGGAACAAGACACGGGGCAGGAUGAUUACUGAGAUGGAGAAGUUUGCUGUGGCCAGCAAGACCGAAGACGGCUCAGCUCCUCCUGCUGUGUUGUCAGCCAGCCCGGAGCAAAAGGAAGAAGCCAGCCAUAAAGACUUGACCAGCUUGCUUGUCUCCCCAGCAGAAAGCCCUGGCCACCGCUCUCGCGCCAGUAGAGGAGUUUUCCCAUUUAGGUGCUGGGAAGCAAAGUCCCGCUGGUGGGUCCACCCCCCAGGAGGAAGCUGCUGGCUCUCCUGAGGAUGCUUCUGAGGAGAUCAUGAACCGCUUGGUCAAGUCUGUGACCCAGAGGUCUCCUGCACGCUCAGGCCCAGCGAAGGAGCGCCGGCGAUCACGCGGGAACAGGAAGUCCUUGAGGCGGACCCUGAAGAGCGGCCUGAAUGAGGAGCUGGUGCAGGCCUUGGGCCUGGCGUCCUCGGCCAGCGUGUCCGUGUGAGGAGCCCCCAAGGCCGUGCUGAGCGGGAAGAAGCAGGAGGGGGAACUGGAGAGGCUCUUCUCUUUGGGAGGCUGCCUCCCUUCACCAAGAGGGGUGGGGGGGGCAGAUGCCCAGGCAGUCCCCUCCCCGCUGGGCAGAGUCCUGUUUGGCCCCUUGUGCCUUGAGGAGCAAGCUUCGCUUGGCCAGUGUGUUGGCCUGUGUGCUUGUGUGGAUGCUCCUGCUCAGGGUUGGGGAGCUGAAGCCUCUGUUUCAGGUGUCUCCCCAGGGGGUGGGUGCUGUUCCCCUCCCCCCCAGCCAUGUCCUGAAAUGGGAAGGGUAGGCCUAGUGGAGAGAAGGCCGGAGAGAUGGCCUCUUGGCACUCCAAAGUCCCAGAAGGAGCGGCUCUCUCUGCCCAGCCCCUCUGCUGCUGCUGCUGCUGCUGCUGCCUCCGCCCAUGGGUGAGCCCCCGAGGGCUGCUUGGCCCUUCCUGGGGUUCAGUGUUAGAAAUGAGAAGUAAAAGCUGUUCUUGCAAGUCUGGCAAAACAGUCGUGUUCCUCUUUUCCUACUGUCUGGGGGACUCCAGAGAAGAAGAGGCUGUGAGAGCUGAAGGGGGCUUUGCCUGCUUCUGGGGGGCCUUUCUCCGAGGGUCUUCAGGGUACCGGCUCUCAGGCCAGGCAGAGGAGCCAGCGCGGCACAGACUCUGCUCUGCAACAGACUCUGCCGUGGCCCAGGUCUCCGGAGCCAGUGGCACCCGUGGCAUUUUGGAGAGGUUCAGGAAGACAGAUUCUCCACAAAUGCAUACAAUUGCUUGGGUGGAAAGGAGUGGAAAGCUGUCAGAGAAAAUAAAAGACCUGAAAUAAGAAAGGAAAGGGGGCUGUAAGGGUUCCCCCUCCUCGCUCCCUCUUUGCUCCGCUUGGUCUCGGUCAACCUCCUGGCUCAACCACCUGGGCCGGCUGACGUUUGUUCUUUAAGCUUCUCACAUUCUGGUUCUGAGAAAGUCUCAAUGAAAAGCCACUUUCUGCUCUUCCUCCUGACUUGUUCACCCUUCACAUGUUGGUUUUGCCAUUGGAUUCCCAGGCGCUUAGCUCUCUCUGCCACCAAAGAGCCCCUGCGGUGCUGGGGGCCCCUCCGUGUUCGGCCUGCAUUCAUCGCACCUUCAGUCUGCAGUCUCUUGUGUUAUUGUGUGUGUGCACACACACUUUUAAGGACCCGUUCCAACCCCAUUCAACUUCACCCUUUGCUACCAAGGGAAGACAUUUCAUUAUAAAUUCAUUAUUUAUUUUUUAACUUCCACCUCCCUGCAGUAUAAUGAAGUGGACCGAAGGACACAGAGCCACUUCUGCUUUGCCUUUUGGGGCAAUGGUCCUCCUGCCACCACCAUCUUUGCCAACAUUGUGGGUCUUAACUCCCCCAUCCAUCUUCCUGUCUUCAGUAAACGUCCUUCAGGGAUAUAUACAUUCAUCUUGUUUUUCACCAUUUAUGUAUAAAUUGUUCAUUCCUUUUUGUCUAUUAAAUAAGGCUGCCUUGGUUGUUCAUAA